UCAAAGCCUGUCGCUUUCUAGCAAGUAGCGAUGGAGUGUUACAUUUAUAGGAUAUGCAUUUUUGUGCUUGUUAUGAAUCACGUGUGUUGGGCAAAUCGCCCAGGGAAACGAGGCCCAGCAGGGCCUAAAGGAGAGCAAGGGGAACCCGGGUUGGACGGUGUAUCCGGUAUGAAGGGAGACAAAGGCGAUAGAGGCAUUUGUGAUUGUGCCGAUAUUUCGCAAACUCAAGACGCACUCCAGAUACAAGAAGAACGAUUGCGAUUAGCGGCGAAAGACUGGUAUAUGGUUGAGGAUAGUAAUGCCAUACAGUAUUGGUUCAAGGUGUUUUACGACAAAUCAAAUUACCAAGAUGCAAAAAUGAACUGCGUGAAGCACAACGCAAAAUAGGCAGCAAAAGGACUCAGAAUAUCUUCAGUUCUGAAGGAAGUUGUGGAUCGCUCGGUCAGGCCUUUAAACAAGCCUUUCUGGAUAGGUCUUGAUGACCUAAUGAAGCAAAACACCUGGGUGUGGUCUGAUGGAGUACAUUCAACAAGAACCAACACCGCUUGGGGAUCGGGCCAGCCCAGUAAUUCACAUGAAAGAUGCGGAGACUUUUACCCUGGAAUCAAUUUCCAGAUAAAUGACGCUCCAUGUUCAUAUGCGUAUUUCUACUUGUGCGAGAAAGUUUUAUUGGAAUGGAGAAAAGUACAAACUUAUUUGAUUGUUACGGUAAAUUUACACGGACAAUUUUGUAUUGUGUGUACCCAGGAUAAACUUUCGACUUUAGUCCAAGAGACUACCCUGUUUUGCAUCUGUUUCAUAUUAAACGGCUAUUUCAAAUAAACAUGUAAAUGUAUA
This is a non-coding RNA of Styela clava, 837 nucleotides long. The record is from RefSeq and is a predicted model, not a curated record. NCBI's taxonomy places the organism in Eukaryota, Metazoa, Chordata, Ascidiacea, Stolidobranchia, Styelidae.